This 215-nucleotide long non-coding RNA is filed under the name Penaeus monodon (black tiger shrimp). RNAcentral describes it as "uncharacterized LOC119578811, transcript variant X2". The record is from RNAcentral. Lineage: Eukaryota; Metazoa; Arthropoda; Malacostraca; Decapoda; Penaeidae.
AGUGAAUCUACAGGACACGAACGCCGACUGUCUGUGAUGUAACUUAGAGUCGUCUGCGGGAAAUCGAAAUGUUUUGAUUCUGCUGUUAGGGACAAUCCACAGCAUGCUACGAGUUGGUCGUGGAAUGGUGGCAAUAUGCCGGAGAGGGGCCAAGCAGAGGCAUUGGAAUCCUUGCAUGUGCAGAUCUCCUGUAUUUGCAAGUGGAUGCUCCUCCU